This 500-nucleotide ribosomal RNA is filed under the name Streptomyces sp. RB-1. Its description in RNAcentral is "bacterial SSU rRNA". It matches the Rfam family "Bacterial small subunit ribosomal RNA", at positions 97 to 611 of the family's 1533-position model. The record is from RNAcentral. Lineage: Bacteria; Bacillati; Actinomycetota; Actinomycetes; Kitasatosporales; Streptomycetaceae.
GGCGAACGGGUGAGUAACACGUGGGCAAUCUGCCCUUCACUCUGGGACAAGCCCUGGAAACGGGGUCUAAUACCGGAUAUGAGCCCGGGAGGCAUCUCCUGGGUUGUAAAGCUCCGGCGGUGAAGGAUGAGCCCGCGGCCUAUCAGCUUGUUGGUGAGGUAACGGCUCACCAAGGCGACGACGGGUAGCCGGCCUGAGAGGGCGACCGGCCACACUGGGACUGAGACACGGCCCAGACUCCUACGGGAGGCAGCAGUGGGGAAUAUUGCACAAUGGGCGCAAGCCUGAUGCAGCGACGCCGCGUGAGGGAUGACGGCCUUCGGGUUGUAAACCUCUUUCAGCAGGGAAGAAGCGCAAGUGACGGUACCUGCAGAAGAAGCGCCGGCUAACUACGUGCCAGCAGCCGCGGUAAUACGUAGGGCGCAAGCGUUGUCCGGAAUUAUUGGGCGUAAAGAGCUCGUAGGCGGCUUGUCACGUCGGGUGUGAAAGCCCGGGGCUUA